CCCUUCGAUGUUCGGAGCUGCACGCGCGCUACACUGUGGGUGGCAGCAUGUUAGCUUGCCUCGCUCGCAAGAGUGGGGUAAUCGUUUGAAAAUCCCACGUGAUUGGGAUAGGGACUUGUAAUUAUUUCCCUUGAACGAGGAAUCCCUAGUAAGUGCAGGUCAUCAGCUUGCGCUGAUUACGUCCCUGCCCUUUGUACACACCGCCCGUCGCUCCUACCGAUUUCGAGUGGUUCGGUGAACCUUUCGGACCGGCAAUGCCUCGUGUUGCGCCGGAAAGUCAAGUAAACCAUAUCACUUAGAGGAAGGAGAAGUCGUAACA
This 319-nucleotide ribosomal RNA is filed under the name uncultured eukaryote. RNAcentral describes it as "partial 18S ribosomal RNA". It matches the Rfam family "Eukaryotic small subunit ribosomal RNA", at positions 1470 to 1796 of the family's 1831-position model. The record is from RNAcentral.